UACGUAGGAGGCGAGCGUUGUCCGGAAUUACUGGGUGUAAAGCGCGUGUAGGCGGCCUGCCAAGUCUGCUGUGAAAGCGCCUGGCUUAACCGGGCGAGGUCGGUGGAAACUGGCGGGCUGGAGGCCGGUAGAGGGGGGUGGAAUUCCCGGUGUAGUGGUGAAAUGCGUAGAGAUCGGGAGGAACACCAGUGGCGAAGGCGGCCCCCUGGGCCGGGCCUGACGCUGAGACGCGAAAGCCAGGGGAGCAAACAGG
RNAcentral lists this ribosomal RNA (253 nucleotides) under uncultured bacterium. Its description in RNAcentral is "partial 16S ribosomal RNA". It matches the Rfam family "Bacterial small subunit ribosomal RNA", at positions 524 to 776 of the family's 1533-position model. The record is from RNAcentral.